CGAGAAGGUGACUUCGGUCACUGGACAGUGGCGCACGGGUGAGUAACGCGUGGGAACCUGCCCCGAGGUACGGAACAACGGCUGGAAACGGCCGCUAAUGCCGUAUGUGUCCUGAGGGAGAAAGAUUUAUCGCCUUGGGAGGGGCCCGCGUCCGAUUAGCUAGUUGGUGAGGUAAUGGCUCACCAAGGCGACGAUCGGUAGCUGGUCUGAGAGGAUGAUCAGCCACACUGGGACUGAGACACGGCCCAGACUCCUACGGGAGGCAGCAGUGGGGAAUAUUGGACAAUGGGGGCAACCCUGAUCCAGCAAUGCCGCGUGUGUGAUGAAGGCCUUAGGGUUGUAAAGCACUUUCACUGGUGAAGAUGAUGACGGUAGCCAGAGAAGAAGCCCCGGCUAACUCCGUGCCAGCAGCCGCGGUAAUACGGAGGGGGCAAGCGUUGUUCGGAAUUACUGGGCGUAAAGGGCGUGUAGGCGGCGGUCUUAGUCAGGCGUGAAAGCCCGGGGCUCAACCUCGGAAUAGCGCUUGAUACUGGAUUGCUUGAGACCGGAAGAGGGUAGUGGAAUUCCCAGUGUAGAGGUGAAAUUCGUAGAUAUUGGGAAGA
This 602-nucleotide ribosomal RNA is filed under the name Nisaea denitrificans. RNAcentral describes it as "bacterial SSU rRNA". It matches the Rfam family "Bacterial small subunit ribosomal RNA", at positions 67 to 705 of the family's 1533-position model. The record is from RNAcentral. Lineage: Bacteria; Pseudomonadati; Pseudomonadota; Alphaproteobacteria; Rhodospirillales; Thalassobaculaceae.